AUUCAGGUGGGCCUAGUGGAAUCAGGUGCGUUCCUAAAAGUGAAAGAGGGAAGCAGAGAUGUAGUCCGUCAAAGAUGUGACUGUGGAGGAAAGGCACAAAGAAUGCAACAUUACUGGCUUUAAAGAUGGAAGUGGGGCCGUGAGAUAAGGAAUGCAGGUAGCCUCUUGAAGCUGGAAAAGGAAGAUUAGCCCUGAGCUAACUGCUGCCAAUCCUCCUCUUUUUUUGCUGAGGAAGUCUGGCCCUGAGCCAACAUCCAUGCCCAUCUUCCUCUACUCUACAUGUGGGACACCUACCACAGCAUGGCUUCCCAAGCAGUGCCAUGUCCACCCCCGAGAUCUGAACCUGCCAUCCCUGGGCCACCGAUGCAGAACAUGCGAACUUAGCUGUUGUGCCACUGGGCCGGCCCCAUUGUGUUUUAAUGUUAUAUAAAAUUUAUGUUAUUUUUGCAAGCUAUAGAUCUGUUCAAAAUAGAGGCUUCUAUUCCUAAUUUUUUGGAAUAUUUUCUUCAUUCACUUACUUAUUCACUCAAUGACUUAGUGAAUAUUACAGAGUGCUUACCUAGUAUGUGCCAGAUACUUUUAUCAGAAUUUAAAAAUGAAUGUAUGACUCUAGAGAUGAUUUAAUUUUUUAAAUUGUUUCAUGUGAAAAUGAUAGGGCCAAUCUUUAUAAGCAAAAAUACCUGUUGAUCCUAUUUUAUCUCUUGCAA
RNAcentral lists this long non-coding RNA (707 nucleotides) under Equus asinus (donkey). RNAcentral's name for it is "lncRNA (ENSEASG00005027423.1)". The record is from RNAcentral. Lineage: Eukaryota; Metazoa; Chordata; Mammalia; Perissodactyla; Equidae.